Molecule: ribosomal RNA, 158 nt
Filed under: Saccharomyces x bayanus
Lineage: Eukaryota; Fungi; Ascomycota; Saccharomycetes; Saccharomycetales; Saccharomycetaceae
Also listed under: 1 other name
Description: Saccharomyces bayanus 5.8S rRNA
Rfam family: 5.8S ribosomal RNA
About the family: 5.8S ribosomal RNA (5.8S rRNA) is a component of the large subunit of the eukaryotic ribosome. It is transcribed by RNA polymerase I as part of the 45S precursor that also contains 18S and 28S rRNA.
Source: RNAcentral
UUCAACAACGGAUCUCUUGGUUCUCGCAUCGAUGAAGAACGCAGCGAAAUGCGAUACGUAAUGUGAAUUGCAGAAUUCCGUGAAUCAUCGAAUCUUUGAACGCACAUUGCGCCCCUUGGUAUUCCAGGGGCAUGCCUGUUUGAGCGUCAUUUCCUUCU